GGCAGAUGCAACAUGCCUGGCCAGCCAGCUCAGCGCCAUCUACCCUGGCUCCUUACACACAACAAAUGCCAGGGCUGAUUGCCCUGACAUCCAGGAUGCCCUGAGGGGUGUUCCGUUCCUUCUCUGAUCCCUGGUAACUGGGAGCAAAGUGGCCAUGUGCAGAUUCUCAACCUUCUGUGCAGAGGAGGAGCUGUGAUGUGGGAGAGGGGUAUUUCUACUUUUGGUAUUUAUCUAAGGAGAUUUUCCUUCUGAAGGAUGACAACAUUUUCCCCUCCUCUAUCCCAGAUUGGAAAAUCUGAUGGCACGAUUCCAGUGCUACCAAACUAUCCUGAAUCCAGAGUCUCCAAUUUGGCAUUGGUUUUGGCUCACUCAUAAGAUCCUGGCUCCCGUGUCCCUCUCCCAAGGAGGAAAGUGCACAGCUGACUGACACGCUGCACUUAGGCCUGAUGCCCCAUGUUUCUGCUGGGUUUAUAAGAGAGGACUGGAGGAAAAGAAUCUUGAUCUGCAGAGUGCCCUGCGUGUGUCCAGUAUUCGACGACCUGGAAGCUCAGAAUUGGCCUAAAGAAAAUGGAAGUGAGAAACACACAGGCCGGUCAGAGGCACACAGCUGCCUUCUCUCCCAGCUGACUUUGGGCAACCACACCAAGGCAAAGCCAGAGGAACCAAGAAAGGUAGGGACGCAGGGCCCCAGCAGUUGUGGGUCUCUGUGAGCUGUAGGGGAUGUGCAAACAGAUGGAGGUCAGUCUAUCAGGCACUGAGAACAAGGUCCCCAAGUGUCCCUUUCCUUGUCUCUGUCUCCUGUCCCGAGAAAAUCACCUCCAGCCCCUGCCAUCCAGGGCACCUCAUAUCUCAUUUAAUAUACAUUUCCUGUCACACACUCACAAAGAGAUUCCAAGUUAACUGCUCUUUACUGAGUGGCUAGUCCGUGCCAGGCAUUGCACUAACAACUCCCCUGGACUUUACCUUCCGUAACUCUCACAACAGAUCCUCAGUGGUGGUCACUGGCAUAACCACAGUGUAAAGAUGAGGAAACCAAGGCCCACAAAGGUUAAUUACUCUGUCCCAAACUGCACAGCUAUAAAUUCAAGACUAUCCCUGUCUGCCAACCACUCCUCCUCUUCUCUAAUAAAAUGAAUGAGACGGAAACA
This 1148-nucleotide long non-coding RNA is filed under the name Vulpes vulpes (red fox). RNAcentral describes it as "lncRNA (ENSVVUG00000021981.1)". Lineage: Eukaryota; Metazoa; Chordata; Mammalia; Carnivora; Canidae. The record is from RNAcentral.